RNAcentral lists this long non-coding RNA (2057 nucleotides) under Anas zonorhyncha (Eastern spot-billed duck). RNAcentral describes it as "lncRNA (ENSAZOG00000016476.1)". The record is from RNAcentral. Lineage: Eukaryota; Metazoa; Chordata; Aves; Anseriformes; Anatidae.
GUAUUCAGGUUAGAUAAACCUCACAUGUCCUCCUUGGAAUGGGUAGUGUCCUGUUCAUGUUUAUUGUUUUCUUACAGUACUAGUCCAGCUUUUUUUUUUUUUUCCAUGAUGCCUGCUGAAGCAAUAUCUUAAUAACAGGGGAGACAAGAUAAGUAAUACCUUUUCUAAGAGAAAAUAUUCCUGAAUUCUGGCAAAUUCUGAAAUGUUAGUUCAAAAAGUAAACAUCCUUACUUUUUAAUGCGGACUUUUCCACCCUUUUUGGAAAGGGCACAUCCUCUGACAUGAUACACUGUGGUUUCUAGAUAUCAUUAGAUAAUGACUGAUCUGACAGCACCCUCCAGGCACAAGAUUUUACUUUGAUUGGGAUGAGUUGCCAUCAAGCACAGUUCGUUAGGAGAAAAUCAGAGAACACCAGUCUCACUGGUACAGACCCAGCUGGCAUGGGUCAAAUUUAAGCAGGGGAUGUCAUGACUGCAAGAACUGAUCUCUCUAAGCAGUAACAAGAAGUGCCUGGAACUGGAAAGUUGGGUGAGCUUUGCUGUUUUGUUUUCUUUGUUUUGUUUUGUUUUGUUUUGAAGGGGGUAGAAUGAGUGGAGCUAUGUUAUGUUCUUUCUAAAGGUGAAAACUGCAAUAAGCAAUGUCCCAUUUGAAAAAGAUGGUAGCAUUUUGAAAGUGUGAGGUGUGUGGGCCAUGUGAUGUGUGCUGGUUGCUGAUUAAUCAUUUUUGAGCAGUUUUAAAAGGUGGUUUGAAGAUUUAGAGUCCUAAAUAGCUAAUCUAUUCCCUUCUUUUUGUGUUUCUUUAUAGAACUGUGACUAAACCAUGACGAGUUAGAAGCAUGUGUAAUAUAUGCAUGAAAUCUGCAGCACCCUUCCUUAAAAUUAAUGCAGAUCAAGAGACCCUGAUUGUUUUGGACCACAGAGCAAGAAGCAAGGCCUACAGGCAAGUCCCCUGCCAGCAUUCUUCUCUGGAGAGCAUCAACAGGAAAAGAUCAAUUUCAGAGACGUGCAGGAUCUGUCCUCUGACAUCCGUAUUCAGAACCAGGCCGUUCUGCUCAUCAGACUCCUUUGCACCAUCUGGAUUUGCUGAGAAAUGAUUUUGCAAGAAAAAAAGCUGGGGGGAGGAUCAUUACUCAGCUGUUGGCAGGUAACACCCGUACAUGUGCGUGCUGAAAAGGUCACAGAAGUUGCAGUGUUACGGGGCUGCUACAGAGCAUGCGUACAGCCAGGCUUCCUGGGCCCUAGCUGAGGUUUCAUGGCUCUUGCUAGAUCUACCAAAAUUGAAAACUAGUACAUACAUUUGGAAAUAGAGGUUAUCUUGAGAAUUUUAAAUAAUAAUAAUAUAUGGAGAUCAAAAUAGACCUUGACUGCGUUUCCUUCUCCUUCCAUUCCUUCCCUUUCUCAGUGCAUUCUUCUCCCCUAGUACCAACUAACUCCCCUUGAAUAUCUUUACUGAAAGGGUUGUUAGGCAUUGGAAUGGGCUGCCAGGGAAGUGGUUGAGUCACCAUUCCUGGAGGUCUUUAAAAGACGUUUAGAUGUAGAGCUUAGUGAUAUGGUUUAGCGGAGGACUGGUUAGUGUUAGGUCAGAGGUUGGACUUGAUGAUCUUGGGAGGUGUCUUCCAACCUAUAAAUUCUGUGAUUCUACAGAUAUCCCCUGCUUCAUGGGUGAACUGCAAACACCAUGAUCUCGCCCAUGAAGGAAGAAAAGCCUUAGUAGAGAAACAGAGUCAUUCUGUAAUUUGGGGAGGCACUUGAAGUAAUCCUUGAAUAUGUGUUUCAUGAUCACAGAGAGCCAAAAUUUCAGAUGUUUCCCUUAAGUUUCAAUUUCUCAGCCUGAUAUACCCAAGUCUGAGGCACUGGACAUCACAUACCCGACUUCUUCCAUUGUCUUAGGUAAAAGUUUUUUAUAAGCAGCAUAAAGAACAGGCAUUUUUAGGACCAUGCUGUGAGGAGAGAUCCUCAGCCCUUUCUGCAGUGAAAAUGGACUACUCUGUCUGUUUGCAUCUUUUCCAAAGGUAUUUCCUAAGAGAUGCUACAGCAGAAGAGGUUGCAAACAAGGGC